Molecule: ribosomal RNA, 563 nt
Filed under: Photobacterium damselae
Lineage: Bacteria; Pseudomonadati; Pseudomonadota; Gammaproteobacteria; Vibrionales; Vibrionaceae
Description: bacterial SSU rRNA
Rfam family: Bacterial small subunit ribosomal RNA
Source: RNAcentral
UUAAUUGAAGAGUUUGAUCAUGGCUCAGAUUGAACGCUGGCGGCAGGCCUAACACAUGCAAGUCGAGCGGCAGCGACUUAACUGAACCUUCGGGGAACGUUAAGGGCGGCGAGCGGCGGACGGGUGAGUAAUGCCUGGGAAUAUGCCUCAGUGUGGGGGAUAACUAUUGGAAACGAUAGCUAAUACCGCAUAAUCUCCGAUCUUUUACGAGAUGGGAGCAAAGCGGGGGACCUUCGGGCCUCGCGCGCUGAGAUUAGCCCAGGUGGGAUUAGCUUGUUGGUGAGGUAAUGGCUCACCAAGGCAACGAUCCCUAGCUGGUCUGAGAGGAUGAUCAGCCACACUGGAACUGAGACACGGUCCAGACUCCUACGGGAGGCAGCAGUGGGGAAUAUUGCACAAUGGGGGAAACCCUGAUGCAGCCAUGCCGCGUGUGUGAAGAAGGCCUUCGGGUUGUAAAGCACUUUCAGUAGGGAGGAAGGUAGUGUAGUUAACACCUGCAUUAUUUGACGUUACCUACAGAAGAAGCACCGGCUAACUCCGUGCCAGCAGCCGCGGUAAUACGG